AUUCUACUCCCUCCGUUGCACAAUACUUCAUGCCUUCUAUUUGUCAAAAUAUAUAUGUAUCUAGACAUGUCUUAGUAUAUAGGUACAUCCAUUUUUGGACAAAUGGAAGUCAAGUAUUUUGGAACGGAGGGAGUACACA
Triticum aestivum (bread wheat) is the source of this 139-nucleotide non-coding RNA. Lineage: Eukaryota; Viridiplantae; Streptophyta; Magnoliopsida; Poales; Poaceae. The record is from Rfam.